CAGGCCUAACACAUGCAAGUCGAGCGAGAAAGUCUUCGGAUGAGUAAAGCGGCGGACGGGUGAGUAACGCGUAGAUAACCUACCUUCGAAUGGGGAAUAACGUUUCGAAAGGAACGCUAAUACCGCAUAACGAUCGCAAUCGAUGGAUUGCAAUCCAAAGGGGACGUCCGCAAGGGGUUCUCGUUUGAAGAUGGGUCUGCGUCCCAUUAGGUAGUUGGUGAGGUAACGGCCCACCAAGCCGACGAUGGGUAGCUGGUCUGAGAGGACGACCAGCCACACUGGAACUGACACACGGUCCAGACUCCUACGGGAGGCAGCAGUGGGGAAUAUUGCGCAAUGGAGGAAACUCUGACGCAGCGACGCCGCGUGGGUGAUGAAGGCCUUCGGGUUGUAAAGCCCUGUCGGCUGGGAAAAAGGUGGUCGUGCUAAUACCACGAUUGCUUGAUGGUACCAGCAAAGGAAGCACCGGCUAACUCUGUGCCAGCAGCCGCGGUAAU
This 497-nucleotide ribosomal RNA is filed under the name uncultured bacterium. RNAcentral describes it as "bacterial SSU rRNA". It matches the Rfam family "Bacterial small subunit ribosomal RNA", at positions 43 to 524 of the family's 1533-position model. The record is from RNAcentral.